RNAcentral lists this long non-coding RNA (279 nucleotides) under Elaeis guineensis (African oil palm). RNAcentral's name for it is "long non-coding RNA (EGUI_LNC018166)". Lineage: Eukaryota; Viridiplantae; Streptophyta; Magnoliopsida; Arecales; Arecaceae. The record is from RNAcentral.
UCUAUAUAGAUCUCGAAGUAAACAUUGCAUGAUUCGAUAAUUUUUUUUUGUUGGUUACAAGGGGUCAAAGACCCAACAACAGCUAGAAAUGAAAAAAUUGAACGCGUGAUCUAUCAACCAAAACAAGAGUACUUAUUUCAGAAGGAAGCAAGGAAGCAGAAUGAAAAUCAAUUGAAUCUUAUAGCCGAGCCAAUCUAUCAACAGGUUGGUUGGCUUCACGAAAAACAUGGAAUAUGAAAAAGCUUAAAGAGUACAAACAAAGCUUGAAGUCAGCAAGGA